Erpetoichthys calabaricus (reedfish) is the source of this 459-nucleotide long non-coding RNA. RefSeq lists it as uncharacterized. NCBI's taxonomy places the organism in Eukaryota, Metazoa, Chordata, Cladistia, Polypteriformes, Polypteridae. The record is from RefSeq and is a predicted model, not a curated record. The transcript is spliced from 2 exons.
UAUAUUAAUCAAAAAUUGUGACUUGUGCAAUUUGUGAAGUAUUGCAUGUCUAAAAAUAAUGUAAACAACCUACUAAAAGCACAAGACUUCAUUCUUUUUCACAGCUACAUAUCAAAAUUUUAAAAUUGCAUUGAUAGUGAUCCGGUCAAGGGUGUUACGAAUUAUGAGGUAAGAAAGACAACCAAUGAAUCUCCUAAUAUUUAUACAAAGACAAUCAAAAUGUAAAAAUAAACAAAUAUGUAAAUAAUCACAUUUCAAAUAUCAGUUUUAACACUUUUUAAAUUUUGCAUUCCAGAGAAAUCUUAAAAUAGUGUUUAUAUUUUCUUAAAAAUUUUGUUCUGACCAAAGAGAACAAACUUUCAGCUCUCCUAUGUGUUUUUGUUAAAGACUGACAACCCAAAGAAGCAUCACCUAAGAAAAUACUAAAAUGACAGGAUUUAAUUCUAAGUUCCACUACUU